Molecule: small RNA, 556 nt
Filed under: chicken gut metagenome
Source: RNAcentral
AUAUUAUUGUAAGACGCAGUAUUCUAGUCAGGCUGAGCUAUAAGGACGGCGAAAUUAAUAGCGCCGAAGGGCAUAACGAUGAAGUUUCUGGUGCGUUCUUUGGUUGCCCAAACCGGGGUGCGUGCUGGAAGUUAAGAUUUUUGGGCAGGCUGUAACGGCAUAUAGCUGUCGACCCAAUUAUCGCGGAGACUCAACAGGGUGGCUAUUCCACUCUCUGAGAUAUGAACCUGCAUUGCGGUAAAAGCCGUGUGCAGUGUAGCCUACUUUGAGUGAAUGCUUUGGGAUUAGGUGUUAAACAUACCUGCUUUGGCCGGCCGACCUUGCAGGUAUCUGCCUAUGAAAUUACAUUUGCAAAACAAGAGAAUUAUAGCUUUGUCUGUUAAGGAAAACUUCUAGACUGUUGCGUUGCAAGCAAAGAUAGGAUUAUAGUGUGUUCUGAGUGGCGAUUCGGUGUGUAGCCUUGCUUAAGAGGAAACUGCUUGUUCGGCGACGACAAGUGCAGGGCUGGGAAAUCCGACCGAACCUAUGACACAAGGUUUACUAUUUUUGUUGUCUU